UUAUUGACAUUUUGCUUGAAUUCUGUCCUAUUUCAGGGAAAUAGUGGAACAUAUGGUCCAGCACUUUAAAACACAGAUCUUUGGGGAUCGGAAACCAGUGUUUGAUGGAAGAAAGAAUCUCUACACAGCGAUGCCCCUUCCAAUUGGGAGGGAUAAGGUGGAGCUGGAGGUCACGUUGCCUGGAGAAGGGAAGGACCGCAUCUUCAAGGUGUCCAUCAAGUGGGUGUCCUGCGUGAGCUUACAGGCGUUACACGAUGCACUUUCGGGGCGGCUGCCCAGCGUCCCCUUCGAGACGAUCCAGGCCCUGGAUGUGGUCAUGAGGCAUUUGCCAUCCAUGAGGUACACCCCUGUGGGCCGCUCCUUCUUUACAGCGUCCGAGGGCUGCUCCAACCCCCUUGGCGGGGGCCGGGAAGUGUGGUUUGGCUUCCAUCAGUCCGUCCGACCUUCCCUUUGGAAAAUGAUGUUAAAUAUCGAUGUCUCAGCAACUGCAUUUUAUAAGGCACAGCCAGUAAUUGAGUUUGUUUGUGAAGUUUUGGAUUUUAAAAGUAUUGAAGAACAACAGAAACCUCUGACAGAUUCCCAAAGGGUAAAGUUUACCAAAGAAAUCAAAGGUCUAAAGGUGGAGAUAACGCACUGUGGGCAGAUGAAGAGGAAAUACCGUGUGUGCAAUGUGACUCGGCGGCCCGCCAGCCACCAGACAUUCCCGCUCCAGCAGGAGAGCGGGCAGACGGUGGAGUGCACGGUGGCCCAGUACUUCAAGGACAGGCACAAGCUGGUUCUGCGCUACCCCCACCUCCCGUGUUUACAAGUCGGACAGGAGCAGAAACACACCUACCUUCCCCUCGAGGUCUGUAACAUAGUGGCAGGACAGAGAUGUAUCAAAAAACUGACGGACAAUCAGACCUCAACCAUGAUCAGAGCGACCGCCAGGUCAGCGCCGGAUCGGCAAGAAGAGAUUAGCAAGCUGAUGCGAAGUGCAAGUUUUAAUACAGAUCCGUAUGUUCGUGAAUUUGGAAUCAUGGUCAAGGACGAGAUGACAGACGUGACCGGGCGGGUCCUCCAGCCGCCCUCUAUCCUCUACGGGGGCAGGAAUAAAGCGAUCGCCACCCCUGUCCAGGGCGUGUGGGACAUGAGGAACAAGCAGUUUCACACAGGCAUUGAGAUCAAGGUGUGGGCCAUCGCGUGCUUCGCCCCCCAGCGCCAGUGCACGGAAGUCCACCUUAAAUCCUUCACAGAGCAGCUCAGAAAGAUCUCGAGGGACGCUGGAAUGCCGAUCCAGGGCCAGCCGUGCUUCUGUAAAUAUGCCCAGGGGGCGGAUAGUGUGGAGCCCAUGUUCAGGCAUCUGAAGAAUACGUACGCUGGCCUUCAGCUGGUGGUAGUCAUCCUGCCUGGCAAGACCCCCGUGUAUGCCGAGGUCAAGCGCGUGGGAGACACGGUGCUGGGGAUGGCCACGCAGUGUGUGCAGAUGAAGAACGUGCAGAGGACCACGCCACAGACCCUGUCCAACCUCUGCUUGAAGAUCAACGUCAAACUGGGAGGCGUGAACAACAUCCUGCUGCCCCAGGGGAGGCCGCCCGUGUUCCAGCAGCCCGUCAUCUUUCUGGGGGCCGACGUCACUCACCCACCUGCUGGGGACGGGAAGAAGCCUUCCAUCGCUGCCGUCGUGGGCAGCAUGGACGCGCACCCCAACCGCUACUGCGCCACUGUGCGGGUUCAGCAGCACCGUCAGGAGAUCAUCCAGGACCUGGCCACCAUGGUCCGCGAGCUCCUCAUCCAGUUCUACAAGUCCACGCGCUUCAAGCCCACGCGCAUCAUCUUCUACCGCGACGGCGUCUCUGAGGGCCAGUUCCAGCAGGUUCUCCACCACGAGUUGCUGGCCAUCCGCGAGGCGUGCAUCAAGUUAGAAAAGGACUACCAGCCGGGGAUCACCUUCAUAGUAGUACAGAAAAGGCACCACACGCGGCUCUUCUGCACCGACAAGAACGAGAGGGUUGGGAAAAGUGGAAACAUUCCAGCAGGCACAACUGUGGACACGAAAAUCACGCACCCGACCGAGUUUGACUUCUACCUGUGUAGUCACGCCGGCAUCCAGGACGUACAGGGAAGGUCACCAUGUGCCCCAUCGUCACCUCAAGACUGCUGGCCUCUGCCCACCGGUGAAGGGGCCCACAGGUUUUUGCCCCUAAGCGUUCUCCCACUGAGUCCUCCGUGCAGAGGGUGACGGAAGCGUGGCUUGUCAGCAGUGCCCUCGUGUAGAUUCUCACCUACCAGCUGUGUCACACCUACGUGCGCUGCACGCGAUCCGUGUCCAUCCCGGCGCCAGCAUACUACGCCCACCUGGUGGCUUUCCGGGCCAGGUACCACCUGGUGGACAAAGAACAUGACAGUGCUGAAGGAAGCCAUACCUCCGGGCAGAGUAAUGGACGAGACCACCAAGCGUUGGCAAAGGCAGUCCAGGUUCAUCAGGACACCCUGCGCACCAUGUACUUUGCUUGACAUGUUUUAGUGUUUACGAUUGUGUACCGAGUUGGAUUCACAUGAGACCAGCUACACUCAGACCAACAGAUGCCCAGCCCUUCCGUGACAGCCAGCAUCGAACAUGAGACGUCAUUGAUUUUAGUAGAUUCUCCAUUUUCCAGAAUGCCUUCCGUCCCAGAUUUCAAACUUGGAUUUUGAACUGCAGACCUGUAUGAGACCCCAUUGUCGUAGGAAAUAUGGUUUGCCAAAAUCUAUAAGCUGCUUAUUAAAAUAGAGUCCCGUGUUUCCUAAAAAUCUCCUAAAACCAGUCUAUGAACUCAGGGCUUUAAAACAUUUUUAAUUUAUUUGGUCAUUCAAUUUACUUGUUUUUAACACAUGAUUCUCUAUGGAAUUGGUGGGCUCAAACUAGCUGUGAACGUUCUCAGAGAGUGAAAGCAACACAGAGCACAGCUGUGGUUUUAAAGCCUUGAGCAUUCUGAGGUGGUCACUAAAGUUUAUGUCAGAGUGGUACUAGCGUGCCCCUGACAGGGCUGGCGCCAGCUCUUCGGGACCGAGGGCAGGUGGCCCGCCGAGGCGCCCGCCAGCGUCUGGAACCGCCACUGCCCGCCUCUCGCCCAGCUCGAAAUAAGGAGCGGGGGCAGAAGAUGGGCCGUGUGUGUUUACAACAUUUAUAGGUCCAGAGCGAUUGGCAGACAAGUGCCAUUUUAAUAAAAAUUUAUUUAAAAAAAGAAAAAAGACAGUAUGCCGACAGUCUAAUCGUAAGAUUUGUCCUAUAGGACUGUGACAUUUAUUUUCCAAAGUUUCUAAAGAAUACGGGUCUGUGGUGAUAAAUACAGUACAAUCCUUUUUCACUGUUAUGUCUUUAAUGUAAGAGAAAAAAUAUAUAUAUCUGGUUUGCAGUAUUAAUGUGAUAGAUAGAUGCUGUUUUUCAUUUUAUUGACUACGGGGUGCUUAUUGUGAUCUGUUUAGCAUAUCACGAGUGUUUGGGAGCCUGGUGACUGGACCACCUCCUGUGGUUCUCAGUGCUGACGUACAGGAGUACGCACUUGAGUCAAUGUGACCGCCACCCGCCUUCCCCCGCGUCGACUGCGUAGCCUUGUACCUUCAGGAGGACCGGGCGCGGGCACAGCAGCCCCGUGCCGCCGCCGCCCCACCUCCUGUCCCCGCGUGUUGCUCAGCCGAUGAAGCACAAACGGAAUGUAUUUAUUCUUCCAUUCCUGGGAAACAAGUCCAUGUGUCAGAGUGUACCUCUCUCUGUGUAUGGUUCUGUUAGACGAGUUUCGUAGGAUCUAUGCACUGAAACGCGCAGAGAGCUGGCGGCCCCGCGGUGAGCCCCGGCCCUCGGAGGUGGCUGGCUGCAAGGCCGGCAGAAGGGAUUUGCGUUCGGGGCCCCAGACGUGGGUUUGCCCAUCUAGAAGCCGUGGCACUAAGCGUGAUACCAUGGACAGCUUGAAAAGGGGUAACAGCGGACAACUCUGUUUGUGCUAAGUGGGCUGUUUGUCCUUGUAGACAAUUAAAAAAAAAAAAAAAA
Leptonychotes weddellii (Weddell seal) is the source of this 4009-nucleotide non-coding RNA. The record is from RefSeq and is a predicted model, not a curated record. NCBI's taxonomy places the organism in Eukaryota, Metazoa, Chordata, Mammalia, Carnivora, Phocidae.